GACGUAGGGCGCGAGCGUUGUCCGGAUUUAUUGGGCGUAAAGAGCUCGUAGGCGGCUUGUCGCGUCGAAUGUGAAAACCCACGGCUCAACUGUGGGCUUGCAUUCGAUACGGGCAGGCUAGAGUUCGGUAGGGGAGACUGGAAUUCCUGGUGUAGCGGUGAAAUGCGCAGAUAUCAGGAGGAACACCCGGUGGGCGAAAGGGCGGGUCUC
RNAcentral lists this ribosomal RNA (210 nucleotides) under uncultured bacterium. RNAcentral's name for it is "partial 16S ribosomal RNA". It matches the Rfam family "Bacterial small subunit ribosomal RNA", at positions 524 to 729 of the family's 1533-position model. The record is from RNAcentral.